RNAcentral lists this ribosomal RNA (838 nucleotides) under uncultured bacterium. RNAcentral describes it as "bacterial SSU rRNA". It matches the Rfam family "Bacterial small subunit ribosomal RNA", at positions 59 to 864 of the family's 1533-position model. The record is from RNAcentral.
CAGUCGAGCGAGCGGAACCACAGAUUUACUUCGGUAAUGACGUUGGGAAAGCGAGCGGCGGAUGGGUGAGUAACACGUGGGGAACCUGCCCCUAAGUCUGGGAUACCAUUUGGAAACAGGUGCUAAUACCGGAUAAUAAAGCAGAUCGCAUGAUCAGCUUUUGAAAGGCGGCGUAAGCUGUCGCUAAGGGAUGGCCCCGCGGUGCAUUAGCUAGUUGGUAAGGUAACGGCUUACCAAGGCGACGAUGCAUAGCCGAGUUGAGAGACUGAUCGGCCACAUUGGGACUGAGACACGGCCCAAACUCCUACGGGAGGCAGCAGUAGGGAAUCUUCCACAAUGGACGCAAGUCUGAUGGAGCAACGCCGCGUGAGUGAAGAAGGUUUUCGGAUCGUAAAGCUCUGUUGUUGGUGAAGAAGGAUAGAGGUAGUAACUGGCCUUUAUUUGACGGUAAUCAACCAGAAAGUCACGGCUAACUACGUGCCAGCAGCCGCGGUAAUACGUAGGUGGCAAGCGUUGUCCGGAUUUAUUGGGCGUAAAGCGAGCGCAGGCGGAAAAAUAAGUCUAAUGUGAAAGCCCUCGGCUUAACCGAGGAACUGCAUCGGAAACUGUUUUUCUUGAGUGCAGAAGAGGAGAGUGGAACUCCAUGUGUAGCGGUGGAAUGCGUAGAUAUAUGGAAGAACACCAGUGGCGAAGGCGGCUCUCUGGUCUGCAACUGACGCUGAGGCUCGAAAGCAUGGGUAGCGAACAGGAUUAGAUACCCUGGUAGUCCAUGCCGUANACGAUGAGUGCUAAGUGUUGGGAGGUUUCCGCCUCUCAGUGCUGCAGCUAACGCAUUAAG